Molecule: ribosomal RNA, 471 nt
Filed under: uncultured bacterium
Lineage: Bacteria
Description: bacterial SSU rRNA
Rfam family: Bacterial small subunit ribosomal RNA
Source: RNAcentral
GAUGAACGCUAGCGGCAGGCUUAACACAUGCAAGUCGAGGGGUAUUGGUUUUCGGACCAAGAGACCGGCGCACGGGUGCGUAACGCGUAUGCAAUCUACCUUUUGCAGAGGGAUAGCCCCAGAGAAAUUUGGAUUAAUACCUCAUAGUAUAGUACUUUGGCAUCAAGGAACUAUUAAAGUCACAACGGCAAAAGAUGAGCAUGCGUCCAUUAGCUAGUUGGUAAGGUAACGGCUUACCAAGGCUACGAUGGGUAGGGGUUCUGAGAGGGAGAUCCCCCACACUGGUACUGAGACACGGACCAGACUCCUACGGGAGGCAGCAGUGAGGAAUAUUGGACAAUGGGCGCAAGCCUGAUCCAGCCAUGCCGCGUGCAGGAUGACGGUCCUAUGGAUUGUAAACUGCUUUUAUACAGGAAGAAACACUCCGACGUGUCGGAGCUUGACGGUACUGUAAGAAUAAGGAUUCGGGCU